RNAcentral lists this ribosomal RNA (301 nucleotides) under uncultured bacterium. Its description in RNAcentral is "partial 16S ribosomal RNA". It matches the Rfam family "Bacterial small subunit ribosomal RNA", at positions 509 to 807 of the family's 1533-position model. The record is from RNAcentral.
CAGUCGCCACGGGAACACGGAGGGUGCAAGCGUUAAUCGGAAUUACUGGGCGUAAAGCGCACGCAGGCGGUUUGUUAAGUCAGAUGUGAAAUCCCCGAGCUUAACUUGGGAACUGCAUUUGAAACUGGCAAGCUAGAGUCUUGUAGAGGGGGGUAGAAUUCCAGGUGUAGCGGUGAAAUGCGUAGAGAUCUGGAGGAAUACCGGUGGCGAAGGCGGCCCCCUGGACAAAGACUGACGCUCAGGUGCGAAAGCGUGGGGAGCAAACAGGAUUAGAUACCCCGGUAGUCCCUGUCUCUUAUAC